Molecule: long non-coding RNA, 407 nt
Filed under: Linum usitatissimum (flax)
Lineage: Eukaryota; Viridiplantae; Streptophyta; Magnoliopsida; Malpighiales; Linaceae
Description: long non-coding RNA (LUSI_LNC007055)
Source: RNAcentral
CCUUGUCAUAGCGCGUGUGCAACAAGACGGAGGUCGUCCUAAUUCCACGGUCCAUAAUCGAUCAUCUUGCACAUGUCGUGAUCAUGGAAAAAUCAGAAUAGGAUGAGGUGAUUACCAAGGAUGUCGAUCUCAACCCCGCGGCCUAGUUCCCAGAGAUUAGAGAGCUUCAGCUUCAUGGCUGGAAAGUUGACUGUUCUUUUCGUCAGGAACAAACCUAUGAUGCAGAACUUGUACUCCUAUGGAGGUGGUUGCGGGACCAGUUUUUUCAUGGCCAUCUCAUCCUCCUCACGGUCUUCGAUACCAAAGUCUUUGACCUUCCUCUCCAUAGUCCCGGCAUCGGUAACGACAAUCAUGGCCAUUAGACGCGGCAUCAACGACAAGAGCCAAUCGGUAGUGGUAGUGGUGAC